CAGUCGCCACGGUAAUACAGAGGGUGCGAGCGUUAAUCGGAUUUACUGGGCGUAAAGCGUGCGUAGGCGGCUAAUUGAGUCGGAUGUGAAAUCCCCGAGCUUAACUUGGGAAUUGCAGUGGAUACUGGGUCACUAGAGUGUGGUAGAGGAUAGUGGAAUUUCCGGUGUAGCAGUGAAAUGCGUAGAGAUCGGAAGGAACAUCUGUGGCGAAGGCGACUAUCUGGGCCAACACUGACACUGAGGCACGAAAGCGUGGGGAGCAAACAGGAUUAGAUACCCCCGUAGUCCCUGUCUCUUAUAC
Molecule: ribosomal RNA, 301 nt
Filed under: uncultured bacterium
Lineage: Bacteria
Description: partial 16S ribosomal RNA
Rfam family: Bacterial small subunit ribosomal RNA
Source: RNAcentral